Molecule: non-coding RNA, 13964 nt
Organism: Cherax quadricarinatus
Lineage: Eukaryota; Metazoa; Arthropoda; Malacostraca; Decapoda; Parastacidae
Source: RefSeq, a predicted model, not a curated record
UUUUUUAUAUUAUUACUGUACUAUAUUUAGAAGUUUUAUUUUAAAAAAACCUAGCAGUUUGUGUGAGAGACCUGGGCCCCCGGCCCACAGGUGCACCAAAACAAGACGAUGCACCCUCAGCACGCUCUGACAGAAGCGAUGGACCCGGCGGCCUGGGGCGACGGGGGAGUGAUGGCAGCAAUUCCUGUGGAGGCAGUAGUAGAGCCGAAAGUGGGGUGAGUAGCUCCCGUGCCUCUAGCCAAGCCUCCAGUCAACCAGAUAGCAGUGCCAGUAGUGGCCAGUCUGUAAUUGCCCAGACCCAGACCAUGCCUCAUCCAACUGAACCACCUGUAUGACUAGAGGCCACCACGCGGAUGUGAGGACACGCCCAGGGCUCAUGGCCGCCACAGGGCCGGCGGUCUGAGCCCUCUCCGGCACAUGUGGUGCCGGAGGACCAUCCUCCCGCGUGGCACUCGCUCAAGCCCCGUGGCCGUGAACCAUCAUGGUCCCCGGAGCCACCACCAUCCCCUGUUCGUGGGCCUCAUGGUGUGCUUCCAGCAAGACUACGGGCUAGCCAAGAGACCCUGGAAACUAAAGAUUGGCCCCCUCCACCACAAGGAGUUGAGUUAGAUCAGCUUGCAGCUCCUCCUCCCCCCCGCGCCUUUAUGCCUGGCACUUGGUCACCUCGGCCUGAGCAUCUACCUCUAACAGCAGCAAGUACAGUAACUGCUAGUAGAGGUGAUCCCCGAAGUCCUGGAGCAGUUGCGGCAGCAGCUGUGGCAGGUAAUGCACAAAUAAUAUAUGACCAUCAUCCUGUGCGUCACGCAGCUGAUUGUCCUGCUCAUAGACUAGACAGUAAACCAGAGAGUGGGCGGUCAAGUAGUCGACCUGCUAGUCGGCCGAGUAGUCGACCAGCUAGUCGGCAAGGUAGUAGAACCACUAGUCGACCCACCAGUAGGUCAGCUAGUAGAUCUGGAAGCAGGUCAGCUAGUAGAUCUGGACACAGAUCGGGAUAUAGCUCGCCUGGAAGUGACCUGCGCUAGGGUCGCAGGUUCCUUAGGCCCUUAGCAGCCUUCUCCCCCAACGAGUCACUGCCCUAAACACGUGUGCAGCAGCAGCAGCAGCAGCUGCAGCUGAGCCUGUGGGUGUCCCUGACAGACGACUCACUCCGUUACGCUUGCCCCAGCUUUCUUCAUGUUUGUUGCCUCUAGUGAUAGCUGGAGAUGGAGGGCCCUUUGUAAUAGUUCAUCAGAUCUGUAGACAAUCGAGGGAGUGAUGUGGCGGCUGUCCUGCAAAAGUGCCAUCCCACCUGUUGAACUGAAUGCGUCCAGGGUGUUGCUUCCCGCCAUUAGAUGAUAUAACACUACUGCCAUCUCUGAGACCUCAGUUAAGCACAUAAUGGAUCAUCCAGGACAUGAGAGCACUUUAAAUCAUGGUUUAUACACAAACUAUGCAAUACACACAAAAAUCUCAUACUUGUGUCCUGAAUGUUGGAAAUCCAGUUAAUUAUACCUUGGAUAUUUAAAGAAUUGGUGUACUGUAAAUGAUAUUAGAAAUUAGCUCUGUAUCACAGACUUGCAUACCUUGAUCAGAGCUAAAGAUGUGAUAGUAUAGUACUGGAAAAAUUAUUUAACUGUUUCUGCAUAAAACAAAGUAACAGACACCAGUGUUUCCAAAAAGUGCCACACAUAUAGAGUUAGUGGACUGAGCUCGCUCAAAUAAUGUUUAGGAAAUAUUUAAAGGAGUUGCAAACAUUGCAGGCAGUUAUAAAUAGUAAUCAUCACUGAUAUAGGUGAACACACGAGCUAUGUGGUAAUACCAAGAGUAAGAGCUGUGAUGAUCCUUAUCUUGUGAAAAUUUGGCAGUAAAACCAUAGAACACUACCAGGAUUGCCAUUAGCUCUCUAUGGUAAUGUUAUAUGGGGGAAGCUAUGCAUUGAAACUAGUGAUACAGUACUAGGAAGAAUGGCAGCAAGAUCAUAAACCCAGUAAGGAGGUACAUAGUGCUCUUGAAUAGGCAGUGAUGUGCCGUCAAAGUGAAUGCAACAGUGAGUGAAUCGCGUCAGACACAGAACAUUACAAAGUUAAUUUUACUUGAAAUAUGCAUAAUUUACAUGAUGCUUUACAAAAAGAGGAAAUUGCUUGCUAAGGAAUCUCUAGGUUUUAGAAUUUCUGAUCAAACAGUAAUAUAAAUACGAAUUAGUUACAAUGUGUUGUUGGCAUUGUUGUUUAGUCAGACUACCAGGAUCUGCAGAGGAGCAUGGAGAGGAGACAGUCGGUGAGGUGGCCACAUGAGUGCACUAAUCUGCAGUGGUUUUCAGGGUCAAGCAAUGCCCACCACCACUGCUGAAUAGGAAGAGAUCAGAAGGGCUUAGUGCAAAUUGCAUCCACAUGCCACCCACUUAUACUGUGAAGAAAUAUGUGGAUUAGGCCUAGAGUAAGCGCUGCCCUGCUUGGCCCACCACAGCUGACAUAGAGAGAGGAUCAGCUGCCACCACCAUCCCCUCCAAUCUCUAGCCAGUUGUGGGUGGAGGCACAGGUGCCACCUUCCCCAUUUGGUGCUCGGUGGCUGGGUUGUUCCUAACAGAGGGGCACUGGUUGCCCUUACAGUUACUUGGCUGCCUUCUAUGUGUACACUCAGAUCUUGUUAGUUAGUAUGCUUUGUUCUACAAGAAAAUUUAGUAUAUAAUCAAUGCAAUACACGUUAAUGACAAUGAAUCUGGAUUAAUAUUUAAUUUCAUAUUAACAACUACAAUAACAUGUACUCUAAUAAUAUGGCUUUGCUGUAUCUUGGUGGAGAGCAUCUUCAUCCUAAUCAUCAUCACCACGAUGAUUAUCAUCAUAUGUUGAUGUAAUGUGUGGCAGCUGCACAUGUGGUAGCCCAGUGACCUCCUGUUAGGUGGCCUGGCGCACACUGCUAUGUAGGCUCAGCGUCAAUCAUUCCUACAUUUGUAAAUCUUUAAAUAGGUUUCAUUAUGUACAUUCAGCUAUUAGAUAUUAGGGGAGGGAAUUAGUGAUUUGCAGAGUACUAUUUGCAGAGUACUAUUCGAGAAUAGAAUGUGAGCACUUAACUGCAUUUCAUAACAUAUCAUGCUCUAUUGAAUUUAUUUAUUUUAAUUGAAAAGGAUUGUAUUAAAAAAUUCUUACAAAUUCAGAAAAAUCAAAAUUAAACCAGAAUAAUCUCUGAAAAGAAAGCAACAUGUUUAGUAUGAAAUAAUGUUUAGUCAUUACUUAUAAGUUUUAGGCCUAAAAAUGUAAUUAUUAGUUAGUCUUAUCAAAUCUAAAGCUCCAGUAAGCAUGCUAGGUAAGCAAUAUGCAAAAUACACUUGAUAUUUUACUUGUUGGUACAUAUUUUAAAUUUCUUAUAAGAAACAGUUGCGUUCCUAAUAUUCUUGCACUCGCCAUCUCUGGAUUUGUAAGAAUUUAUGGAUUUAUUUGAUUAUGUAAAAAUGCAUAGACAAAUUUAUUUAUUUAAUUAUUGAAAAAUAAGUUUUUAUCACUUUGAGACUGCCAGGAAAGUAAAUCAUUUAGAUUCUCAUUAAGCCACAAACAGUACCACCAUAUCAAGUUAGUUUGCAUGUUAAGAUUAUUUUUUUUUUUCUUUUUUUUAGUUUUUAGAUAUUUUUUAUUACUAAAACUUUCCAUAAUAACUUGAGUGUUUGGCAAUUAAGUAUGAGUAGCACAUACAUAUAAUAUAUAAAAAGUUAUAUAACUUAGCUUUUGCAUUAUAGUAAUAUAUACUGAGCCAAUUUUAAUAUGAAUGAAAGUUGGGGUUUAAAAUAGUUAGGGAAUUUUAAAAUUUAUCUUUACUCUUUACACAGUUGUAGAUUACGCUCACCAGUUUUUACAGAGUUGCUCGACAUGUGAUACAGAAAAGUUGUUAUUCUUGAAAGUUUGCUACAUUUUUUAUUGCUUUGUAUGAUCAUUGCUGUCUAAAUUUACAGAAAAAGAUGAUUAAGUGUACAGCCCAAUAUGAUGACAUUGUAUGAGAGAGAUGCCCUGUAUAGUUGAUAACAAUGAACGAUGUGAAAUGUGUCAUCCACUCUCCAUUGAUUCUCUCCCCUCUGGUUUGUUUAUAGUGCCAUAGAAUAUUGGGAUAGUUAAAAUAAUUUUUAUAGGGUUUAUGAAUUUCAAAAGAUUUCAGAUUUAUGCAGAGUCCCUUUACCUAAACCCUCACCACUGCCGCCAAGCAUACAUGGUAUGCAAGUGACGAGGAGAAAGUACUUGCUGGGAAGUGAUCGAUAUUCAGGCAAUAAUGAAGAAAACAUUCGUAAUUGGACAGUACUGCACUGUAUUUAAAUGUAUGUAUUAUACUGUUUUUUUAACUUUCAUCCUGUUAAAAAUAAAACCAUCUUAUAUCUUCAUUUGCAUUAGUCAUAAUCAGCCAGCUUCCUCUAAGGCAGUAUGAUUCAGAGAACUAAAAGAAAAAACACUCGCCAUCAUUCACUCCCUAGCUGUCUUUCCAGGGGCACAUGGACAUUAUGAUUCAAAUGUCUUGCUGAACCACAACAUCCCAUCCAUAUCGGAAGUGCAGGCAUGGUACUUUCUCCCUCUAGAACUCCAUUCUGGCUAACCAGUUUUCCUGAAUCCCUUUAUAGAUAUUACCAUGCUCAAUUGUUCAUACUCCAGCAGCAGGCCAAGUCCCACUAACCACUUGCCAAUCUAGCACACACACACAUGCUUGCUGGUUGCUCAAGUCCCUACCUCUAUAAACCUUCAUGCCCUCCUUCCAUGUCUUACUGAAACAUUCCUUACACCACUUUCCAUCCAACCCAGAUCUUAAACCCAUUUUAACUUAUUGUGCUCUAAAUAAGCAAACUGCUAUAUCUUAACUCCACUUCAUUUCCCUGAGGUAUACAUUUUGUACCACUAUAUAAUCUUUUAAUUUCUUAUUCUCCAAAUAAUGUUAAAACCUUACAAUGAUCUUAGUGCCAGUCUCUUCCUCACAACUUUUAAAAGCCAUCCAUACCUUACAUCCCUAAAAAAGCAAUGCCAUCCAUCAUCUGACUGAGGAAGGUCUGUAGACUGAAAAUAUUUUCAGUCUACAGACCUUGUACUGCUAAAUAAAUAAAUAUAUAUACAUACAUAUAUAUAAUAUAUAUAUAUAUCAUCAGCUGUCUCCCACCAAGGUAGAGUGACUCGAAAAAGAAGAAACACUAUCUCCAUCAUUAUAUUGCCAGAGGCCCUUCGAUACUACAAAUCAGAUUCCCCUCCAAACUGCAAAUAUCCCAACCCCUCCUUCUGGGGUAGAGGGGGAGAUUAGAGUAUUUAUUUAAUUUUAUAUUGCCCCAUCAUCUCUAAAUGUCCAAACUACCUCAACAACUCUUCCUUAGUCACUUAAAUAAUAUGCUUUUUAUAACCGACACAUACCCCAGACUAUAAAUUCUCUGCAUAAUAUUCACACACAGAUGUGUCUGAGGGCAAUUUGUAGAGUGAAUAUUAUGUGGAGAAUUCGUAGAGGGCUGAGGAUGGGUUGUUGAGGUGGUUCAGACAUUUAGAAAUGCUGGAGAAAAACAGGAGGCUUUGAAAAUCCAGCAUGUGUGAGCAUGCUAGAUAGUGAAUAGACAACCAGUUGUUUUUAAUGGAAGUGCUCUUGGAAUGUGAAUAAUGUAACAUGAAGGGAUUCAGGGAAACCAGUUAGCCAGACUUGAGUCCUGGAGGUGGGAAGGGCAUUACCUACAUUCUGAAGGAGGGAUGGGAAUGUUGCAGUUAGAGGACAAUCUGAUUUAUGAUGUCAGCACACUUCUGGCAACACAGCAGUUGAGUGAAUGAUGAUGAAUGGGUUUCCUUCUUUGGGUCACCCAACCUUGUUGGUAGAUGGCCAGUUAUAUUAAAAAUGAAAGAGAGGUAGGUAGGUGUGUGUAUUUAUUUAUGCACACUGUACAAUAUCAAAGUGCAGAGGAUACAUGUCAGCAGGUUGAGGAAAACUCUCAUAUAGAUGGAAACAAUAUGAAGAGUAUUUUAAUCUAAAUCUGAGAUGUUCAGCAGAGGAAAGGAGAGAGUAGGUUUAUAUAUGAAUUUGAUCACUAGACUACAUUCCCUGUACUACUGAAGAUCUCGGACAGAUAUCGAGUUUUUUUUUUUACACUAAAUUUGUAUACAUGUGGAUUUCUCCUCAAUUCAUAAUGUACUGGUAAACCCCUGCCUGUUGUGCAUCCACCUACUGCAUUUUCAUUUUGAGAUUCACAUUUUCUUCUUCCUUCAACUUUCAGUGUAAACCUACCCAGCUUCAUGCCGACGUGAUCAUUUUAUUAGUCCAGUUUUGAGCAUUGAAUUAUUUAGCAAGUGCAUUUAUACUGUGUGUGUGUGCUUAUUUUAUGUAUAUAUAAAGAGCUCACAUUUGUUUGACAGAAAUUGGUCAAGAACCAUAGAUUUUCAUAUUUACAUUUUAAUUGAGGUUGAAAUAUUAGUAUUUUUUCCUUUGUUGGUUUUUAACUAAAUCCAUUCAUACACUGUAUGAUCAGUUUAUGUAUGUAUAAAGAGCUCUCAUUUAUUUGGUAGAGAUUGGUCAAUAACUACAGAUUUAAUACAUAACUGGAAACCACGACUGACUAGAAUACUAGAUGUUGAGCACAUAAUGUCUGGAGACACAUGGCAGUGACUCCAGCCUGCCAAACUCUUUCACCCCAUACCCACCACCAACAUGAAGUGUGUUUACUUGUCUUUUUAUUAUAUCUCGUCUCUAAAUAUUAACCAUGAUCCAAGAUAUAAUGCUGGAGGUGCUAAGAAGAGGAAUUGUGUGUUGAAGAUAUAGUAGUCCCUCCCUGAUGUUGUAUUAGCUAUUCCUAUGUUCUCUGGAAGGAACACCCUUAUCUGUGAAAGGUAUACUUAACAGCCAUCCACUGCCAAGGCAGGGUAACCUGUAGAAGCAAACACACUAUCAUUCGUUCCAUUGCUGUUUUCCAGAAGUGUGCUGACACCACAAUCAGAUUACUCUCUGACUGUAAUAUCCCCAUCCCUACUUCAGAUUGCAGGUAAUGUCCUUCCUACCUCCAGGACUUGUACACCUGUGUAUGUUGUACUUGUGACAGUUAGGGAGUCCUUUGACCGUGUAGGUCACUCAGCACUUGCAGCCAUAAAAAAUGCAUAAUAAAAAACAUGGAUAAAAGCAACAAACACUCAACAUAAAUAAAUUAUAUCAAGUUAAAAUAGCCAACAUCCAUUCAUCCCCCUCCCCAACAUUAUAGCUUAGCUAUACAUCUGGUGUCCUUCUUUUUUGCAUAACAUUUUUUUAAAUUUUCAGUAGCUCUAAUACUAUAUAAUCCUGAGCUGUAUGGCCCAUAUGGUUUAGCACUUUUCUUCAAAUAUAUUAACCACAUCUUGAAGCCCAUUCUAGAAAUCUAAUACUUUUUGAAAAUAAAUAUUUUCUAAUAUCUUUUCUUCAUUUUUUGAAGAGGAGUUGUAAAUUAUCUUUGUGGCCUCUUAUUCUCCCUAUUGCUGGUUCCAAUUUUGUUUUUCACAUCCUCAUAUGUAUAGAUUUGCAUGCUCGAUUUCUAGCACACUUAGCUCACACACUGAGGAUCGAUCCCUGGUAUGGCUGAAAAACAUUAGGACGUGUUUCCAUAAGACACCUGCUGUCCAUGUCCACCUAUCAGUAAAAUGGGUACUUGGGUGUUAGUCGAUUGGUGUGGGUCACAUCCUCGGACAAAAUUGACCUAAUUUGCCCGAAAUGUUAUGCAUAACAAGGGGCUUUCUAUAUAGUAGUAUGUCACUGAUGUCAGCUAUGGUCUGUAUUGUAUACCUUGUACAUGUACUUGCAGAAAUAAAGAUAUUAAUAUUACAGUAUGCCAUUGCAAUUCGGGCAUUUCCAAAGUUUUCAGUUAUUAUUUAUAAGUUAUAUUCUAGGAUAUUUUGUUGCACAUCUUUGAACCUUUUCUCUUAUUAUAGUGCAUAACAUUUCAUAAACAAUUUAUUUAGCAUUCUCCCAUAUAUCUACAAAUAGCUAGUACAGCAGGGCUCCAACUUACGAUGUUAAUGUGUUCCAGAAUAUUCCUUGGUUUUUCAGCAUAUGGACUCUAUUUUCCUUAUCUGAAUUUGGUUAAUUUAAUUUCCCAAAGAAUUUCUAUCCACUAUUUUACAUUCUGUGCUGUUUCUUUGCACUUACAUGUGGGAGGUGAGAGGGUGGUGCAAACAUGGUGUGGUUGGGUGGAUGGUGUAAGCAUGGGGGUGAGGGGUUGGAAUGCGGGCAGGUGUUGUCAUUGAUCUCAGUACAAAUGUUUACCGAACACGCCCACAGCACAACCAACAUGCCAAACCAGGGUUUCACCUCCCUCCCUACUUCACCACCCACCCACUAACCAGUGAUACAGUAACAUGAAUGUUACAUCUUUAGCUCUUGACCAAUGUUUACCAAAUAGAUAUGAGUUCUCUAUAUAUGCAUAAAACAAGCACAAAGUUUAAAUGAAUAUAGUAAAGAACUAAUCAAGAAAAAUAUAUUGAAAGAGUAUGUCAUUGCUCGUAAAUAAAUAAUCAGUUCCAAAAUGCCAGUGCCAUAAGUGCAGAAACCUUAGAAGUCAGGUUCCUGCCGUAUCUUAAAAUUUGCUGUUUGGGCCUGCAACAAGUUAACUUAUGUUCAGUGGAUAUAUACCUUUUACCUUUGCUGAGUUUUUCUAUUAGUCUCUUCAACUACGCUGUUGCUGCUGGCCCACAUAUCCAACACAGCCUGGUUGAUAUGGCGCUUGGUAGAAAUAUUUUUCCAGUAGUGUUUCUGAUAUCUUUUGGCAAGAUCUUGAAUAGUCUGGGUCCACGGAUGUUGAUACAAUGUUAUCUUCUUGUGCUCAUCAGCGACUGGUGUUAAAACAUUUUUGACAUUGAAUUCAUGCCCUUUCUUGCCUUUGUAUAGUUUUUCAAUACUUUUUGUUUAUUAACCUCAUUUAUUAUUUCCCUGUUAUAACAUUCAUAGGUAGUGCUAAGCCCGUAGAGGUCAUACAGCACUUGGAAGAAUGGGAGGCAUUCAGAUUCAAUCCAAGGAAGGGAAGGGCAGGUACAAUUCUUUGGAUCAUAAACCCCUCAUCAACAUCAAGUAACUUUUCUUGAGGGGUCAGUCUUCUGUAAUACCUUGAUCGAUGCAAUUUCUUCAAAGUACUGCUUUAGGUGUGUGUACAGGUAUCCCUUGCUUUAUGUGGGAAGUGUGUUCCAUGCCUAUAGCAGCUGACUAGCUUUCUUUUUAUUUUCUGUUGACAUCCAGAGGUUUUCUUUACAAAUUUCUUGAGACUUUGUAGAAAAAAAAGUAUCUAUCACAUUUCUUCAUUCAUUAUCACUGUAUGACCCCUUCAGGUUUAGCACCUAGCUUAUUAUUAUUCAUUCAUAUCUUUAGGUAAUUAGAUGUUUUCUCUGAGUCUAUCUUCUUUAAACAUUAUAAUUAUUAAAGUAUAUUUGUCAAGUGCUAAUCCCAUGUGGGUCAUGGCUCAGUCCUCCGUCAGGUAAUUGCAAAACAGAGGAUCUUUCAACAGAACUUUAUUAAUACACUUCAUCCCUGCGGUUAACAUUCAAAGAUUACGUUCAUGGAGAAGCACUAGACCUUUAAGGACAUUCAUAAUAUAUGUGACCUUCAGAAGACAUGUUCUUGCCCAUUACUUACCUAUUCUUCUAUAGCUGCAAUAUGUUUAACUGGAUUAUUAUAAUUAAUUCCUUCUGUAGUUUUUUGUUUCUCUUCUCUGUUUAACAAUAUUUUUCCGCUAUUCCAUUUUCUUAGAGUUAUCUCUGCUUUUUUCAAUAAUUGUCUAUUUUUUCUCUUAAACAGUUAUUAUGGCCACUUUUAUAAAUUAUAUCUGACUUCACUUGCAUUCACCUCCAAACUAUGAUGUCAGCACACUUCUGGAAAGGCAGUGAUUGAAUGAAUGUUUUUUAUUCUUUGGGCCAACCUGCCUUGAUGGGAGAUGGCUGUUGCAUUAAAAAAAAGUGUGUGUGUGUUUUAUAACACAUUCACUCAGUUGCCAUCUUUCCAGAAGUGUACUGACAUUACAGUCAGAUUACCCUGACUGUAACAUCCCUACACCUAAUUCAGAGUGUAGGCACUGCCCUUUUCACCCCCAGGACUUAAAUCCAGUUAACCGGUUUCCCUGAAUCUCUUCAUAAAAGUUACCCUGCUCACACUCCAACAUGUCCAUUAAAAAUGGCCUGUCUUCAUGCACUCCUAUCUGACACAAGCCUCUAAAACUCAAAAGGAUCUUUUAACCCCUCACAUCAGCCAUUUCUGAGAUGACCCCUUACUCUCCUACCUUCCACCCCAGAUUUUCACACCCUUUUUGUCAAACCACCACAGCUCUCUACAUUAUACCCUUGGUCACCUCAUAACUCCUUUUAAUUUCUAUGCUCUGAAUUCUCUGCAUGAUAUUUACACCACACCUUGCUCUCAAAUAUUACAUCUCUGCUGUCAUUACAGAAGUGAAACUACAGCAAUAUCCUGAUUUCUUUUCACUCUAAGCACAGGAUUUUAAGCUUUGUAAUACAGUUGGCCCCCCACCUUUUGGAAGGGUUAAGUUCUUGAAAUCAGAGCUCUACAUGACAUUGCAGUAGGGGGGUGAAGAACUUGGGGAAUGUAGUGAAAUUUUUUCCCUAAGACCUUGAAAAAAGCCAAACUGUUUUUUAAAUUCUUACUUUGUCAAAGUUAAUAAAGUUUUUGUGCCUGACACUAAAAAGUUGUUCUGUGUUCAUCUAGAGAGGGUUCAAUGUUGCCCUACUAGGCCAAGUUGGAUACUCAUAAACAAGUGCACUAAGUCAGUGUUUGACUUGACUGGGUUAUCUUAAGGUAAAUCUACAAAAUGUUAUAUGCCCGUAAUGUGUGCACUGUCAAAACCAUUGCACAAAAAUUCGUAUGUUACAUAUAAAAAAUGCAGUAGUAUUUAUGACAUUUACGGAGAACUUUUACUGCAUGUGUCACCCAGUGUUCAGAUCCAUAAAAUAUAUAUAUAAAACAAAGUCAAGGGACAAACAUGUACUCAACACAAAUACAUUACAUAAAAUGUAAAUAAAAAUUUACUUGGUAAAUAAUUUUUUUUAAGGCCUAGGGUAAGGUGGUGGUUGAUGUAAUUUAUCUCUUCCAUAAGCAAUGGGAGUUCCUUCUAGAGAUGAUGGGCAGGCUCAAUAUGCUCUAGUGAAUAUUAUAACUUCAUUCCAGUCAUUCAUAACUUUCAUACACAAUUUUCUCCUUUAGAAUUAGACUGAUACCUCCCCCCCCCCCCCCAAAAAAAAAAAAAAAAAAAAAAAUAUUUUUUUUUACUCUACCCUAAAGUCCUUGUUUUUCUUUGCUUAUGGCUAUAGAAGUGUGUAGGGAGAUGGCUAAUGUGGCCUUACUUCUCCACAAACAUGCCAGGAAAAUUUUUGGUGCUCCUAUAUCACAUGAUGAACUCCACCUUUCCCUACACAAUUUAUUCCUUAGAAUAUGCUGAAAAGCAACCCUUGUUGCUAUAGAAGUGUCUGGAGAUGGUUAAUGUAGCUUUCUCCACAAAAGUGCAAGGAAAUUACCUGGCACCACUGCAUCAACCAAUCACUGCCAUUCUCUACUUUUUUUUUUGAACACCAAGACUUUCUUAGUACCUCCAGCAUUCUAGUAAAUAUGUAUUCCUUUUUGGUACCAAGGUUUAUAUCCAGAGACAAGACAAGGUGAUAAAACAUUGAAAAUGGAGUGAUAAACACAGGUAUGGCAAGUGCUUAUAUUAGAGAAUUAGUUAAGCUCUCACCUGCACAGGCAUAACAGCUGGCCACUUUGGAGUGAAAGAUGAAAAUAGGUUUCAAAAGAUGUAUUGCAAACUGGUGGAAGUGCAUUAGCAAUAGGAUGGAGGCCUACUGUACUAUCAAACAAUUCUCCUGGAUCUCAUAAGUUCACUAGUCAACUGAUGUCUAAAGAAAUAGCCUUCUUGCACUCUUAAAUUGUUGUAACUUUAACCUACUGAGUUUAUAACUAACAAUUGUAGCUACCGGAGUACAGCUAUGCUUGUGGUGCUGUAUAGCCCUUGUGGCUUAGCGCUUCUUUUUGAUUAUAAUAAUAUGCUUGUGGUGUCCAGUCUUCUUCAUUUACAGUACUGUAAUCAGAAAUACAUUUAACAUUAUUUUUGUUCACUGUAACUUAUUUUUCAACAUGUAUAGCUAUUAAAAAUAAUUACUAUCAUUUUAACCCAUGCAGGUUUUUCAGCCUAAAUUUAUUAAAGGGUCAUAAGGUAUUUUGGGAAAAAAGGGAGGUGGCUGUAUUGGGGUGAGGCAUAUGAUAGUAUGACUGUUUUUUGUUUCAUUAAACAUGUGAUUCUAUUUAUGUGGGGACUUACAAGAUAAGCCAGAAGGCAGUUGUAUUGGUGGUGGUGGCGGCAGUGGGUGAGGUCCCUCUGUUAUGGAGCACUGUCAUCUCAGUGCCUGGAUGUGGUUGGCAGAACAACUCAUCUGAAGGUGUAGAUGUCACUGCUUCCCAUCCCAGGUGUUUGGUAGCAAUGCAACCAACACCAUGACAUAUAACACAUGCAAUGUUUAAGGGCAUGGGUUAUUGCAGAAUUGUUACCCCUCCUUGCAGGGUAUAUAGCAGGUACUAACAGCUGGAACAUGUGAUGGGUUUCAGAACAAUGCUUAUCCAGUUAUAAUCUAUUAUAAAUUAAUAUGUGCCUGGAUGGUGUUGGUAGCUUUAAAAAAGUCAUAAAUGCUAUACAGAACUUAGAAAAAGUGAUAAAUUAUCCUUAUCCAGACCUCUCUCUCUCUUUGCUUAUGUACAUACUUAAGUGAAAAUAGUCUUUCAACUGUACGUGUAGUUGUGCACACAACACCCAAGUAUAAUUUAUGUUUGAAUGAUCUGAAGUAUUCCUGGGAACAUGGGCAACUGCUAUAAUCACAUUUGAAUCCACACAAAAAAAUAUGCAGAUAUUGAAAUUGAUUAUGCUUGUACGAUGAGUAGUCAUACUUUAUGUAUUGUAAUGUGAUGACAAUUAGGAAAUUAUAAUAAAAAGGUUAUACUGUAUGUAGUGGAAUCAUUGAGGUAAUACACAUUUGUGAGAAGAUCCACAACUUCCUGCAAGUGUAAUAUUGUAACACCUGUAACUAAUGUGAAAAAUAUACACUGCCCAGGUAAAAUUGUGAUAUUGUGCCUCAUUGUGCUGGUAAUGCUGUAAAUUUGUAAUAAUUCUGCCAUCUCUAUCCAGGCACUGCUGGGGCAAGGUUUGGCAGAUGUGAGCACUACAACCCAUGCUCUGUUUGUUAUAAAGCCUGUUACUGGGUGUGGGUUGUAUUGCACCAAGUGCCUGGCAGUAGGUGACUGUAUGAACCAAUAUGUGAUGUGGAUGACUUUGGUGUGGGUUUGUUCUGCCAAUGCCUUACACCCAGAAGAAUGUAGUAAUCUUGCCAAGACUAAUGCUCCAUGGAACACCUAUGAUCCAAAGUAUUAUUAAUGUUUCUUAUAAGUGGUUAUAUUGUCUUUCUAUAAGACAUUCGAAUGUUGACAGUGUGAAUGAAACUGUUUGGUUCCCUGCGCUCGCCCCCGCCAGGGAUGAUCUGCCCACCGGCAUUGGUACAUCACUUGAAGCCAUCUCAUGUGGUCAAUGGUGAUUUAUAAAGGUCCACAGGCCCAUAACAAUGCUGGUGCAUACCAGCAAAGUAAAGGGGUGUGUGGUGGGCAGGUGGUGGUGGUUGUGUCAGGGCACCAGUCAGACUGGAGAGUAAAAUGCUCGAUUGCUGGUACAGCUUCUAUGCUGUUACAUUUUGUCACUAGUGGCAGGUGAGCCAGCUUCACUGAUUCCAUCUCACAGCCACCAUCACCUUUCAUGAUCAUCAUCACUGGAGUGCCACAAGCAGCAGGGCAGCGUGGCGGCGGGGGCGGCGCGGCCCUGCCCUUGCUCACUAGCGCAGUGGAGGCAUGCUAGGCUACUCACUGCCAGAAUGGUGGUAGUAUGUAACUUGGCAUGCUUACCAAACCUCAUAGUACUGAUACUGCGCCCUGUUUAAAGGCUACACUACCCACAGUUUGUAACCUGUUACUGAAUAAACAUUGUAUGUUCUUCUUUCAUAAAA